Papaver somniferum (opium poppy) is the source of this 542-nucleotide long non-coding RNA. RefSeq lists it as uncharacterized. The transcript has 2 exons. The record is from RefSeq and is a predicted model, not a curated record. NCBI's taxonomy places the organism in Eukaryota, Viridiplantae, Streptophyta, Magnoliopsida, Ranunculales, Papaveraceae.
CUAUCAACCCUAAUCUAGCCCUAUUUCCCUAGCUUUCUCUUCAAUUGGUACCAUCUCACAUCAAGUUACCGUUAGAAGCAAGAUUUGAGGAGGCAUGGAGAUAAAUCAGAACGUUGUGAAAUGAAUAUUUUGAAGUCUGCGUCAAUGGUACCUGCGAAUAUUGCUCUGCGAAACAAGGAAGGGAAGGACAAGGAACGAAACACAAUCUGGGAGGGCCUAAACUCGGUUUAUACCGGCGAUAUCAUUCUCAAAUCUCAAAAAAAUUAUCUCUGAUAAUCCCCAUUAUCACUUAUUGAUCUUGUAACUCCAUUGUUCAUCGUUGAAUCUCUGAACCUUUCAUACUCUGUCUUGAAUGAUACCCCAUGUUUUCAUGAAAACCUAGUUUCCUGACGAAAUAUUGUCCAAUACCUGGAACAUAAAAUAUUUGUUUAAGCAUAAUCCUGAGAUAUCUGGGUAACAUUUUCACCGGCUGAAAUUACCAUCUCUGUGUGUGCAUUUGUGAACUUUUGAAAUACUAAUAACUGUAUGCAUGCUUUCAUAGA